This 124-nucleotide small RNA is filed under the name Serratia grimesii. Its description in RNAcentral is "RtT RNA". It matches the Rfam family "RtT RNA". From Rfam's summary of the family: This family represents a bacterial cis-regulatory element known as RtT RNA. The exact function of RtT is unknown although it is thought that it may be involved in changing the cellular response in relation to amino acid starvation. Lineage: Bacteria; Pseudomonadati; Pseudomonadota; Gammaproteobacteria; Enterobacterales; Yersiniaceae. The record is from RNAcentral.
AUAACGCACGAAUCGUGUGGGUGAGACCCUGCUUCAGGAUCGAGCAUCGCGCAGCGAUACGACAACGCAUAGCGUUGCCCGUAGGGUGAGGCCAGCGGCCGAAUCAAUCCCGCACGACCCACCA